Molecule: ribosomal RNA, 383 nt
Filed under: Sinotaia quadrata histrica
Lineage: Eukaryota; Metazoa; Mollusca; Gastropoda; Architaenioglossa; Viviparidae
Description: partial 16S rRNA
Rfam family: Bacterial large subunit ribosomal RNA
Source: RNAcentral
UCAAUUGUCUUAUAAUUGAAGACUGGAAUGAAUGGUUGAACGAAAUUAAAACUGUUUCAUUUAUAUUAAUUAGAAUUUGGCUUUUAAGUGAAGAGAUUUAAAUUUAAUUGAUAGACAAGAAGACCCUAUUGAGCUUUAAAUAAUUUUAAAACUAAAAAUUUAUUAUUAGAGAUUUAAAUUUUAAAUAUUUUUUAGUUGGGGCGACUAAGGAACAGGGGUAGCUUCCUUUAUUUAUUAGAUUGAUAAAUUAUUGAUCCAGUAUUAAACUGAUUAAUAGAGAUAGUUACCAUAGGGAUAACAGCAUAAUCUUCUUGGGGAGUUCUUAUCGAAAAGGGGGGUUGUGACCUCGAUGUUGGAUUAAAAUAUCCUAAAGGUGUAGAGGC